UACGAGAGGCCCAAACGUUAUUCGGAUUUACUGGGCUUAAAGAGUUCGUAGGCGGCGCGGAAAGUCGGGUGUGAAAGCCCUCGGCUCAACCGAGGAAUUGCGCUCUAAACUACCGUGCUUGAGGAAGCUAGAGGUGAGCGGAACUGAUGGUGGAGCGGUGAAAUGCGUUGAUAUCCUAAGGAACACCGGUGGCGAAAGCGACUCACUGGAUCUCUUCUGACGCUGAGGCACGAAAGCUAGGGGAGCGAACGGG
Molecule: ribosomal RNA, 253 nt
Filed under: uncultured bacterium
Lineage: Bacteria
Description: partial 16S ribosomal RNA
Rfam family: Bacterial small subunit ribosomal RNA
Source: RNAcentral